This 497-nucleotide ribosomal RNA is filed under the name uncultured bacterium. Its description in RNAcentral is "partial 16S ribosomal RNA". It matches the Rfam family "Bacterial small subunit ribosomal RNA", at positions 28 to 507 of the family's 1533-position model. The record is from RNAcentral.
GAUGAACGCUGGCGGCGUGCCUAAUACAUGCAAGUCGAGCGAACAGACGAGGAGCUUGCUCCUCUGACGUUAGCGGCGUACGGGUGAGUAACACGUGGAUCACCUACCUAUAAGACUGGGAUAACUUCGGGAAACCGGAUCUAAUACCGGAUAAUAUAUUGAACCGCAUUGUUCAAUAGUGAAAGACGGUUUUGCUGUCACUUAUAGAUGGAUCCUCGCCGCAUUAGCUAGUUGGUAAGGUAACGGCUUACCAAGGCAACGAUGCGUAGCCGACCUGAGAGGGUGAUCGGCCACACUGGAACUGAGACACGGUCCAGACUCCUACGGGAGGCAGCAGUAGGGAAUCUUCCGCAAUGGGCGAAAGCCUGACGGAGCAACGCCGCGUGAGUGAUGAAGGUCUUCGGAUCGUAAAACUCUGUUAUGAGGGAAGAACAAAUGUGUAAGUAACUAUGCACGUCUUGACGGUACCUAAUCAGAAAGCCAAGGCUAACUACGUG